RNAcentral lists this transfer RNA (82 nucleotides) under Toxocara canis (dog roundworm). It matches the Rfam family "tRNA". Rfam says of the family: Transfer RNA (tRNA) molecules are approximately 80 nucleotides in length. Their secondary structure includes four short double-helical elements and three loops (D, anti-codon, and T loops). The record is from Rfam by way of RNAcentral. Lineage: Eukaryota; Metazoa; Nematoda; Chromadorea; Rhabditida; Toxocaridae.
GGCAAGAUGGCCGAGCGGUCUAAGGCGCUGGUUUUAGGCACCAGUCUCUUCGGAGGCGUGGGUUCGAAUCCCACUCUGGUCA